CAACAAUUACAACAUAUUUAUCUUAUUAUCUUAUCUUAUUAUUAUCAUAUUAACUCAGACACUAACUUAUGAUGCAUAUCUCCAUCACUAGUCAAGUGAACGUUUAACCCUCGAAGUUAAUAUGUAAAAAAAACAGCAGAAUGGGCAAGAGUAGGGAUCUUAGAAACUUUGACAAAGGAGAAAUUGUGUUGGUCAAAUCAGUGGGUCAGAGCAUCUCCAGAUCUUGUCGUUCAUUCCCAGUGUAAAGUGGUUCAAACCAGGGCAUU
Long non-coding RNA from Sphaeramia orbicularis (orbiculate cardinalfish), 266 nucleotides. RefSeq lists it as uncharacterized. The record is from RefSeq and is a predicted model, not a curated record. The transcript has 3 exons. Lineage: Eukaryota; Metazoa; Chordata; Actinopteri; Kurtiformes; Apogonidae.